Molecule: ribosomal RNA, 408 nt
Filed under: uncultured bacterium
Lineage: Bacteria
Description: bacterial SSU rRNA
Rfam family: Bacterial small subunit ribosomal RNA
Source: RNAcentral
GGACGGGUGCGUAACGCGUAUGCAACAUGCCUUCCAGCGGGGGAUAUACCAGGGAAACUUGGCGCAAUACCCCAUAGAAUUACGGGACCGCAUGGUCUUGUGAUUAAAACUCCGGUGCUGGGAGAUUGGCAUGCGUGACAUUAGCUAGUUGGCGGGGUAACGGCCCACCAAGGCGACGAUGUCUAGCUGGUCUGAGAGGAUGAUCAGCCACACUGGGACUGAGACACGGCCCAGACUCCUACGGGAGGCAGCAGUAGGGAAUAUUGGACAAUGGGGGGAACCCUGAUCCAGCCAUGCCGCGUGAGGGAAGAAGGUCCUCUGGAUUGUAAACCUCUUUUGGCAGGAAACAAACCUGCGCUAUACGCGCAGCUGAGGGUACCUGCAGAAUAAGCACCGGCUAACUCCGUG